RNA transcript from Astyanax mexicanus (Mexican tetra), 4052 nucleotides. It is a transcript of the gene named deleted in malignant brain tumors 1 protein-like, with no coding region annotated. The transcript is spliced from 15 exons. Lineage: Eukaryota; Metazoa; Chordata; Actinopteri; Characiformes; Acestrorhamphidae. The record is from RefSeq and is a predicted model, not a curated record.
UGUAUCAGUAAAUUAUUUUAUGUUCCCUUCUGUUAACUAGGAACAGGAAACUGUUCAUAAUAUAUCAUACAUGUAAAACAAAGUCUUGUAAGUGGUGGGAAAGGACCCAUUUUAGAGGCUUAGGGUCCAGUUAAGCGUAGUAGUACUGUUUGUAAGGAAACAGAUAGCGUUCAUUUAGUCAACUUUUCCACUGAAGGUUAAAUGCCAUAUCUCUUUUGACCAUUCUUGCUGUGUUAAUGUCAGAGAUUCAAUGACAUGGAAAGACAUUUUCAUGUUGAAGCAGUGACUCACAUAUGUUUAAAUUCAGCUUUAUGUUCACAAUUUUUAGGAGUCCGGGUGGUUGGUGGUUCUCACUGUUCUGGGAGAGUGGAGGUUCUUCAUGGAGAGAGCUGGGUCACAGUGUGUGAUGCUGACUUUAACCAGCAGGAUGCAGAGGUUGUGUGUCGAGAGCUGGGCUGUGGUUCUCUUGUGGAGGUUCUGGGAGCAGCUGCUUUUGGUAGAGGGGAGGGUCCGGUGUGGUCAGAGAAGCUUCAGUGUAGAGGAACUGAAUCUCAGAUUCACUUCUGUCCAAAAUCAUCUUCACUCAAACACAACUGCUCCCAUGAUAAUGAUGUGGGACUGGUGUGUGCAGACAGUGUGAGGUUGGCGGAUGGUGGCAGUCGCUGUGCUGGAAGAGCAGAGGUUUUUCACAGAGGACAGUGGGGAACAAUUUGUGGUGCUGGUGCAAAUUUCAUAGCGGGUUUUGUCAUGUGUAAAGAGUUGGGCUGUGGAGAGCCGUUUAGGACUGAUGCAGCUGUUCCAGGAUCUGCACCGAUCUGGAUGAGUCAUGUGAAGUGUACUGGAUCAGAGUCUACACUGAAACACUGUGGAUCAUUAGGGUAUGGUGAACACAGCUGUAAUCCUAAUAUGGAUAUUGAGCUUACCUGUUCAGAUCACAGGACAUCCAGACUUGCUGAUGGUCCUCAUGUUUGCUCUGGGAGAGUGGAGGUUCUUCAUGGAGAGAGCUGGGUCACAGUGUGUGAUGCUGACUUUGACCAGCAGGGUGCAGAGGUUGUGUGUCGAGAGCUGGGCUGUGGUUCUCCUGUGGAGGUUCUGGGAGCAGCUGCUUUUGGUAGAGGGGAGAGUCCGGUGUGGUCAGAGGAGCUUCAGUGUAGAGGAAACGAAUCUCAGAUUCACUUCUGUCCAAAAUCAUCUUCACUCAAACACAACUGCUCCCAUGAUGAUGAUGUGGGACUGGUGUGUUCUGAAAGUGUGAGGUUGGUGGAUGGUGGGAGUCGCUGUGCUGGGAGAGUGGAGGUUCUUCAUAAAGGACAGUGGGGAACAGUGUGUGAUGAUAACUGGGAUAUGAUAGAUGCUGCAGUGGUGUGUAGAGAGCUGGGCUGUGGAGAAGCUGUAGAUGCACUUAGUGGUGCUUACUUUGGAUCAGGAUCAGGACCUAUCUGGAUGGAUAAUGUGGAGUGUAGAGAAUCAGAAUCCAUACUAAAGAACUGUAAAUCAGCAGGAUGGGGUAAACAUAACUGUAAUCAUCCUAAAGAUGCUGGAGUCAUCUGUUCAAGAGUCAGGCUGGUUGGAGGUUCUCACUGCUCUGGGAGAGUGGAGGUUCUUCAUGGAGAGAGCUGGGUCACAGUGUGUGAUUCUGACUUUAACCAGCAGGGUGCAGAGGUUGUGUGUCGAGAGCUGGGCUGUGGUUCUCCUGUGGAGGUUCUGGGAGCAGCUGCUUUUGGUAGAGUGGAGGGUCAGGUGUGGUCAGAGGAGCUUCAGUGUAGAGGCAACGAAUCUCAGAUUCACUUCUGUCCAAAAUCAUCUUCACUCAAACACAACUGCUCCCAUGAUAAUGAUGUGGGACUGGCAUGUUCUGGUCACACUCAGGCUCGGCUGAUGAACGGCUCAGAUUCCUGUUCUGGUCGAGUGGAGCUCCAGUACCUCAGUGAGUGGGGUACAGUGUGUGAUGUAAGCUGGGAUAUGAGAGCUGCCAGUGUCCUCUGUGCUCAGCUGAAGUGUGGGAGUUCUGUGGCUGUGUUGGGGUCAGACUGGUUUGGGGAGGUCAGUGGCCGGAUCUGGGCUGAUGUGUUUGAUUGUCAGGGAAACGAAACACACCUGUUAAAGUGUCCCAUUUCAUCAUGGAGUCGAACUGCAUGCUCUCAUAAACAGUAUGCUGGAGUUAUCUGUAGUGGUUCUUCUCUGGCGUCUCAUGAGGGAGGAGUGCGGUUGUCUGGAGGGAUGGAGUGUGAGGGGGAGGUGGAGGUGUUCUUCAGGCAGGACUGGAGGAGAGUUCUGCUGGACUCCUGGAGUGAGUCUGAGGCCUCUGUGGUCUGCAGACAGCUGGGCUGUGGUUCUGUACUCAACACCUCCAGCUCCUCUUCAUCCAGUCCUGAACACAGCUUGUGUGUGACGGGUUUCAACUGCUCUGGGAGUGAAGCUCAUCUGAGGAACUGCAGCAGCUCACAAGCAGUUAACUGCAGCUCCACAGUACAGCUCUACAUCACCUGCUCUGGUACAUCUAACACAGUCCACAGCUCCAUCAGGCUGGUUGGUUCUGGGGGAGACUGUGCAGGAAGGCUGGAGGUUUUCCACAGUGGAUCAUGGGGGACAGUGAGUGAUGAAUUGUGGGAUAUUGAGGAUGCGCAGGUGGUCUGCAGACAGCUGCAGUGUGGAGUCGCCCUCAGUGCUCCAGUACCGGUACCAGCCCGGUUUGGAUCUGGAACUGGACCCAUUUGGCUGAAUGAGGUGGAGUGUGAGGGGAACGAGGCGUCUCUGUGGAACUGCAGAUAUCAGCUGUGUGGAGAGGAUGAAUGUGGACACAAGGAUGAUGUAGGAGUCGUGUGCUCAGAGAAUGGAAAUACACUAGAUUUGACAAAUUGGCUGUGUGAUUCAUCUCCUCAUGAGAGACCGUGCUCAAAGCACAUUCCUCUGAGGCUGAGGGGAGGAGUAGGAAGCUGUUCUGGAUGGCUGCAGGUGUAUCAUAAUAAAACAUGGGGGUCUGUAUGUGCUGAUCUGUGGGACAUCAGGGAUGCUCAGGUGGUCUGCAGGCAGCUGGGUUGUGGGCCGGCGCUGAGUGCUAAUAGAAGAGCUGCUGAUGGUUCUGGUGGAGGAACUAUCUGGAUGAACAGAGUGAAGUGUAGAGGGAAUGAGAUUCACCUGUGGGACUGUCCUCAUUCCCUGAAGAACCACACUGACGGCUCCCACAGUGCUGGAGUCACUUGUGGAGAUUCUCAACCACAGACAAGAAGAAUCAUAAUUCCACAAACUCCUCCACCAGCUGUUCCCUCCAUCUAUCCAGUGUCUCUCCUGGUUCUGGGAUCUGUGCUCUUCCUGGCCUUAGUGCUUCUGGUUGUGCUGUUUUAUCAGAACAGAGUGCUCAGGAGAGUGAUCUCUAAGAGGAGGAAGACUUCAGCUGAGCCUGUCUAUGAGGAGAUUGACACCAGGCUCAUCCCUAAAAGAAUUACUGUCUCAACUGAAAAGGAAGAACCAGAUAAUUACGAUGAUGUUAUUGUGGAACAAAACUCAAACAUUGUGAUGGGUCUGUAGAGUUAUGUAUGAGUGAGCAAAUUCUAAUCUUAACAACUAAAACUUCCCUAAUAAAAGUCAUGUUCACUUUAUUUUUGUUAGAAAACAUGCUGGAGAUCUACGAUGAUGUCAUGGAGGUCACUGCUGGACACAUUGCGGCAGCCUCCUUCUGCUGAUCUUCCUCUUUCGGGUGGGGAUGGAGACGGUGGAGUGGCAAGUGCUGCUGCUUGAGCUCCAGGACACUGAAGAUGCUGGGUCUUCGGGGACUGGGCCUGAAUUUACAGAAGAGAAAGAUCUGUAGAUUUACUUUCACACAGUUACUGUAGUCCUGUAAUAGUUUAUCCAAAUAAGAAGAUCUACAGUUCUCCAUAGUUCAUACAUUUGUCUCAUUAACAUACACUGCUUUUAGCUUGUAUGGGAUCCUGGGCAAACCCCUGAUUCAGCACUUCUCUCAUACCAUUUUAUACACUGCCUGUAUUUGUAAUUAAUGUACUAAACUAGAAAUGUCAAAAAAGUAACCAAAUAAAUAACUUUACUGCAGGAUA